RNAcentral lists this ribosomal RNA (482 nucleotides) under uncultured bacterium. RNAcentral describes it as "partial 16S ribosomal RNA". It matches the Rfam family "Bacterial small subunit ribosomal RNA", at positions 28 to 507 of the family's 1533-position model. The record is from RNAcentral.
GACGAACGCUGGCGGCGUGCCUAACACAUGCAAGUCGAACGAUGAAGAAGAGAAACGCGAACUUCGGUUCAAAUUUCACUUCGGAUUAGUGGCAGACGGGUGAGUAACGCGUGAGCAACCUACCUCUUACAAAGGGAUAGCCUCGGGAAACCGUGAUUAAUACCAUAUGACACAUUCAUAAGGCAUCUUAAGAAUGUUAAAGCUACGGCGGUAAGAGAUGGGCUCGCGUCCCAUUAGCUAGUUGGUGAGGUAACGGCCCACCAAGGCGACGAUGGGUAACCGGACUGAGAGGGUGAACGGUCACAUUGGAACUGAGACACGGUCCAAACUCCUACGGGAGGCAGCAGUGGGGAAUAUUGCACAAUGGAGGGAACUCUGAUGCAGCGACGCCGCGUGAGCGAUGAAGGAAUUCGUUUCGUAAAGCUCUGUUCUAUGGGAAGAAAAGGACUGUACCAUAGGAGAAAGCCCCGGCUAAAUACGUG